This 492-nucleotide ribosomal RNA is filed under the name uncultured bacterium. RNAcentral's name for it is "partial 16S ribosomal RNA". It matches the Rfam family "Bacterial small subunit ribosomal RNA", at positions 29 to 507 of the family's 1533-position model. The record is from RNAcentral.
AGUGAACGCUGGCGGUAGGCCUAACACAUGCAAGUCGAACGGCAGCACAGUAAGAGCUUGCUCUUACGGGUGGCGAGUGGCGGACGGGUGAGGAAUACAUCGGGAUCUACUUUUUCGUGGGGGAUAACGUAGGGAAACUUACGCUAAUACCGCAUACGACCUACGGGUGAAAGCAGGGGAUCUUCGGACCUUGCGCGAUUGAAUGAGCCGAUGUCGGAUUAGCUAGUUGGCGGGGUAAAGGCCCACCAGGGCGACGAUCCGUAGCUGGUCUGAGAGGAUGAUCAGCCACACUGGAACUGAGACACGGUCCAGACUCCUACGGGAGGCAGCAGUGGGGAAUAUUGGACAAUGGGCGCAAGCCUGAUCCAGCCAUACCGCGUGGGUGAAGAAGGCCUUCGGGUUGUAAAGCCCUUUUGUUGGGAAAGAAAAGCAGCAGGUUAAUACCCCGCUGUUCUGACGGUACCCAAAGAAUAAGCACCGGCUAACUUCGUG